UGCAGGUCGGGUUGAAGAAUGAAGACUGACUAAGCUGAUUUGAUGGUUGCUGCAGUAGCACUUGGGAUAACAAAAACAGAGGUUUGUCACAGACUGUCUCUCCAACCUCAAAACUUGAAUGGAGGAAGCAUUGCAUUUCCAGUGGUUCUUA
Camelina sativa (false flax) is the source of this 151-nucleotide non-coding RNA. Lineage: Eukaryota; Viridiplantae; Streptophyta; Magnoliopsida; Brassicales; Brassicaceae. The record is from RefSeq and is a predicted model, not a curated record.